AGCUCCAAUAGCGUAUAUUAAAGUUGUUGCAGUUAAAAAGCUCGUAGUUGAAUUUCGGACGAGGACGUCCGGUCUGGCUUCUGGUCAGCACUGGACGGGCCGAGUCUUACUUCUAGGGAAGCGGCGUGCCCUUCACCGGGUGCGCCGGGGAACUAGGACGAUUACCUUGAGAAAAAUAGAGUGUUUAAAGCAAGCCGAUGCUUGAAUACGUUAGCAUGGAAUAAUAGAAUAGGACCUUGGUCUUAUUUUGUUGGUUUUGAGGACCACUGUCAUGAUGAAUAGGGACAGUUGGGGGCAUUAGUAUUCUGGCGUCAGAGGUGAAAUUCUUGGAUUGCCAGAAGACUAACUAGUGCGAAAGCAUUUGCCAAGGAUGUUUUCA
This 379-nucleotide ribosomal RNA is filed under the name uncultured eukaryote. RNAcentral's name for it is "SSU rRNA". It matches the Rfam family "Eukaryotic small subunit ribosomal RNA", at positions 587 to 972 of the family's 1831-position model. The record is from RNAcentral.